RNAcentral lists this small RNA (614 nucleotides) under Malus domestica (apple). Its description in RNAcentral is "sRNA MD01G0119400". Lineage: Eukaryota; Viridiplantae; Streptophyta; Magnoliopsida; Rosales; Rosaceae. The record is from RNAcentral.
UGAUUUGAUCAGAAGCCAGCGCCCAGCCCUAAAUUCUAAUCCCUUUCUUUCUUUCUCUCUCCCCAUUCCCGUACCCUCUCUCCCGACCCAUCACGGCGCCGUCUAUUCUUCCUAGCCUCUCUCUCCCGCUGUCUGUUCUUCCAAAAAGCUCUGAUCCGAUGGCCACGAUCUUGUUGUCCUUUAUUCGUACAACCACUUCUGUGUAUCGUGUUCUCUGCAGCUAAAUUUGAUCUUGUAUAUAUGCGUGUGCUGGUAUACCUUAUAAGAGUUUGUUAGAUUUUGGUGCUACAUUUCUUUGAACUGCUUGUGAAUUGGUUGGAUGAUGAUUUGGGCACGUAAUGCCAAUGAAUUUCAUUACAAGAAUAUUCCUGGAUGUUCUUUUCUGUUUCACCUAUUCUUCACUUUUGUUCUGAAAGAAAGAAGAUCAAAAAGGGAAAUUGCAUGACAGUUUAUUCAAGCUUUUUUUGAUUCAUGGAAGCAGGGGGUAUGGGUGUGAAUUAAAUUGGUGUACACAGAUUGGCUCUAAUCAAAUUUGAGUUUUGGGACUAGAAGAUUGAUUUGUGUUUUGGUUCUAAUCAAGCAAUUGUGGGUUCGAGUGGAGUCCCAUUGGGCGU